GAGGUUCGUGGUAGGAGAGCGUUCUAAGGGCGGUGAAGUCAGACCGGAAGGACUGGUGGAGCGCUUAGAAGUGAGAAUGCCGGUAUGAGUAGCGAAAGAAGGGGGAGAAUCCCUUCCACCGAAUAUCUAAGGUUUCCUGAGGAAGGCUCGUCCGCUCAGGGUUAGUCGGGACCUAAGCCGAGGCCGAUAGGCGUAGGCGAUGGACAACAGGUAGAGAUUCCUGUACCAGUG
RNAcentral lists this ribosomal RNA (231 nucleotides) under Listeria monocytogenes. RNAcentral's name for it is "partial 23S ribosomal RNA". It matches the Rfam family "Bacterial large subunit ribosomal RNA", at positions 1218 to 1449 of the family's 2925-position model. The record is from RNAcentral. Lineage: Bacteria; Bacillati; Bacillota; Bacilli; Caryophanales; Listeriaceae.